This 166-nucleotide ribosomal RNA is filed under the name Ophiocordyceps robertsii. RNAcentral describes it as "5.8S ribosomal RNA". It matches the Rfam family "5.8S ribosomal RNA". From Rfam's summary of the family: 5.8S ribosomal RNA (5.8S rRNA) is a component of the large subunit of the eukaryotic ribosome. It is transcribed by RNA polymerase I as part of the 45S precursor that also contains 18S and 28S rRNA. Functionally, it is thought that 5.8S rRNA may be involved in ribosome translocation. Lineage: Eukaryota; Fungi; Ascomycota; Sordariomycetes; Hypocreales; Ophiocordycipitaceae. The record is from RNAcentral.
CAAAUGAAUCAAAACUUUCAACAACGGAUCUCUUGGUUCUGGCAUCGAUGAAGAACGCAGCGAAAUGCGAUAAGUAAUGUGAAUUGCAGAAUUCAGUGAAUCAUCGAAUCUUUGAACGCACAUUGCGCCCGCCAGCACUCUGGCGGGCAUGCCUGUCCGAGCGUCA